Rosa rugosa (rugosa rose) is the source of this 1017-nucleotide RNA transcript. RefSeq lists it as uncharacterized. The transcript is spliced from 5 exons. The record is from RefSeq and is a predicted model, not a curated record. NCBI's taxonomy places the organism in Eukaryota, Viridiplantae, Streptophyta, Magnoliopsida, Rosales, Rosaceae.
AAAGCUCAGACGUAAUGGUGAUAGAUGAGGUUCAGAUGAGAACUAUCUAAACAGUUCAAGAACUGAAGAAACUGUAUUGCUACUUCGUAUAUGUAAUUUUGCUGACGGUGUCUUCAACAUCAGUGGUAGCUCAUUUUAUAUAAGAAUAUUUUGUAGACAAUGUCUAUUGGAAGCAUGUUGUGCACCACAUCGAAGCAUGUAAGGUUGUACUGCAUGGACGUGCUGAGUUUGAGGCAAGUGAUGUUAUCUUAAAGGUUAGUGUUUGGAACAUGGAACACUACAGACUGAAAGCACAAUGGAAAAUCACAUGAUGAUCGUUACUGAUGUUCGAUUUAGAACAAAUCUCCUGAACAUAAUAUGGACAAGUAUGACGGUAGAGUUUGUAUGAGUUCAGAGUCGUUGAGUAGAAUAGAGGCAAUGUUUGAAGCUGAACUUGAGAGGUUGGGGCUAAACAGGAGUACUUCUACUUUGGAGAGAAGAUUAACUGAUCUUGAUGAGGUACAAAGUCUAUGCUUAUCGUUGCAAUUUUAAGUUUAAGCAGCACAAGUUUAUCUUUUGUGUACUGAAAUUUUGUGGGUGGAUCCAAUUCACUUGAAACAUAGAAGUAGUGAAGAAAACCCUCAUUUUCGUUCUGUUUUACUUGCUUCCAAACAGUGUUCAUCAAGUUUCUGAGGAUUACAUUUGGGAAAGCUCUAUACUUUACAGACCAAUGUUUACAUCAGAGGAAGUGGAGAUUCUCAGUCUAAACCAAUUCUUGCUGGCUAUUCGUCAUGCACACCUUCGGUCAGAAACCAUGUUGCUUCUUCACCAUCCCAUGGUUUUCUCUCUCAGUUUUGGCGGCCAUAACAUCAGCAACUAGAACUUACCCGGUGGCUCCAAAUGGUCACAGAACACAAGGCCUAGGCGCUUUAGAGAUAAGUGCACCAGCUGUGAACAACAGACUGCUGCUGUUAGAUUUGCAGCACCAGAUCAAGGUGCAAGUGGCUUCUCAGGAUCAUGCUUAUGUUCUAUCAAACU